UACGUAGGGUGCGAGCGUUGUCCGGAUUUAUUGGGCGUAAAGAGCUCGUAGGCGGUUUGUCGCGUCGGCCGUGAAAUCUCCACGCUUAACGUGGAGCGUGCGGUCGAUACGGGCAGACUUGAGUUCGGUAGGGGAGACUGGAAUUCCUGGUGUAGCGGUGAAAUGCGCAGAUAUCAGGAGGAACACCGGUGGCGAAGGCGGGUCUCUGGGCCGAUACUGACGCUGAGGCACGAAAGCGUGGGGAGCAAACAGG
Molecule: ribosomal RNA, 253 nt
Filed under: uncultured bacterium
Lineage: Bacteria
Description: partial 16S ribosomal RNA
Rfam family: Bacterial small subunit ribosomal RNA
Source: RNAcentral